RNAcentral lists this ribosomal RNA (1181 nucleotides) under uncultured organism. RNAcentral's name for it is "bacterial SSU rRNA". It matches the Rfam family "Bacterial small subunit ribosomal RNA", at positions 44 to 1232 of the family's 1533-position model. The record is from RNAcentral.
GUGGUUAAGACAUGCAAGUCGAACGAGAAGCUCCCUUCGGGGAGUGGAGAGUGGCGCACGGGUGAGUAACACGUGAGCAACCUGCCGGGAAGCCCGGGAUAGCCCGCCGAGAGGAGGAUUAAUACCGGAUGUGGCCACCCUGCGAUUGCGGGGGAAGCUAAAGGAUUUAUUCACUUCCCGAGGGGCUCGCGGCCCAUCAGCUUGUUGGUGAGGGUAACGGCCCACCAAGGCGACAACGGGUAGCUGGUCUGAGAGGAUGGUCAGCCACACUGGAACUGAGACACGGUCCAGACACCUACGGGUGGCAGCAGUCGAGAAUCAUUCGCAAUGGGGGAAACCCUGACGAUGCGACGCCGCGUGGAGGAUGAAGGCCUUAGGGUUGUAAACUCCUGUCAAGAGGGAAUAAGCAAGUGAAGGUACCUCUAGAGGAAGGGGCGGCUAAUUCCGUGCCAGCAGCCGCGGUAACACGGAAGCCCCGAGCGUUGUUCGGAUUCAUUGGGCGUAAAGGGUGCGUAGGCGGCGCGGAAAGUCCGGCGUGAAGGGCAGGGGCUCAACCUCUGGACUGCGUUGGAUACUUCCGUGCUUGAGGACUGGAGGGGAGACUGGAAUUCACGGUGUAGCAGUGAAAUGCGUAGAUAUCGUGAGGAAGACCGGUGGCGAAGGCGAGUCUCUGGACAGAUCCUGACGCUGAGGCACGAAGGCUGGGGGAGCGAACAGGAUUAGAUACCCUGGUAGUCCCAGCAGUAAACGAUGUGAGCUUGAUGUGGGGGGAUUCGACCCCUUCCAUGUCGAAGCUAACGCGAUAAGCUCACCGCCUGAGGAGUACGGCCGCAAGGCUAAAACUCAAAGAAAUUGACGGGGACCCGCACAAGCGGUGGAGUAUGUGGCUUAAUUCGAUGCAACGCGAAGAACCUUACCUGGCCUUGACAUGCAUUGUGUCGUCGGUGAAAGCCGGCUAGUCCUGGAAACAGGACGCUUUGCACAGGUGCUGCAUGGCUGUCGUCAGCUCGUGUCGUGAGAUGUUGGGUUAAGUCCCGCAACGAGCGCAACCCUUGUGGUCAGUUACUAACCGGCUUAGCCGGAGGACUCUGGCCAGACUGCCCUGUCAAACGGGGAGGAAGGUGGGGACGACGUCAAGUCAGUAUGGCCCUUAUGGCCAGGGCUGCACACGUACUACAAUG